Molecule: long non-coding RNA, 1823 nt
Organism: Colossoma macropomum (tambaqui)
Lineage: Eukaryota; Metazoa; Chordata; Actinopteri; Characiformes; Serrasalmidae
Exons: 4
Source: RefSeq, a predicted model, not a curated record
UGCACAGCUUUUUCCGAGCUGACGGCAGCCAUUUUCUACACCUCGUCUCUGGGAAGAUUUGGAUUACCUGAGAAGAUUCUGUCAUCUUACAUUCACAAGAUAGGAUAUCGUAUAUUGUCUAUUUGUCAUUAUGGACAUAUAACAUAUUCAUGACAUUUACGCAGAAAAUUAUUGGCAAAAACGUAAGGUUAAGGGAGGACUUAGCAUGGCUUAAAAUUCGCUAGCUUAGCUACCUAGCCAGUUUAAACCCACACACAUUCAAAGUACACAUAACGUUACUCGGUCAAAUAAUCACCAAACUUACUAAAACCGCAGUGUUUUAAUUCACUGUGUGCUUCAUAAGUAUCUGUCUGUGUUGGGGUCACUUGAGGUCCUCACUAAGUUUGCUCAUGAACACAACCGUUAGCUAACGUUACUGUUGACGUAGCCUGCUAGCUAGCUAAGUAACGGCGCCAUUUUCUUAAGUUCACUGCUGACGAGUGCGUUUAGCUACUGUGUCAUCGUACAACUACACGGUAAAAUAUUGUUUAGAUGGUUGUAGACACACACACACACAACGCAGCGUUGGAUAUAACAGAUGAAAAGGUUAAGGCUUACCAAGGUUGUUGACUGCCAUGUUUUAAAGGAUUCUCUGGCAUGUUCUAAGUCUCUGGCGAAGGAUGUCUACCAUCAUAAAAGCUCUUUGUCUGAACCUGAAUGAUGAUGAUGAUGAUGAUGGAUUUCUUAUCAAGGAGUACAUGGACAUUCAUGGUGAAGACAUCUUGAGAGACCAGCACAGCACUGAAAUGGGCAUUUAUGUCAUCAGAAGAGGGUGGAGCUCUUGGAGAAUAUGAAGACGUUGACGCUGAUGGAAACGUUAUUGUAGGAAACAUCAAAUCAGUUGCACCAGACUGCAGUAAUGCUUGGAGUAAUCUAUGCACUGAAUAUGGCUCACCACAAUGGGCGGAAGUGCUGCUAUGAAUUUGUACAUUCCUCAUGCCAAAGGAUGGUGCAAAGCUCUCCCCUAAUAUUCUUGGUUUGGAGAACAAAAUCUCGGGAUAGUCCAAGUAGGCUGUCCAUUCUGGAAAUAUUUGGAACUUUUCACACUAGCUUCUACUUUGAUUGAAAAGCAAUGGACUUUUGAACAACGCUUAAGUCACAUGAAAUAAGAAUGGCUGUAUUUGUCAACAUCUCUUAAAAUUCAAUGACAUUUCAAUGGUUUUCUAUACAACAUGUCAAGAUCCUGGUCAUGUUUAAGAAUAAUAUGUCUUAAAAUGGCAUGCAGGUAAAUUUUAGAAUCUUUUUUGCUAACACUGUACAAAGUAGCCUUUUGCACAAUUUGAGCUCUAUAAAUUUUCACCUGAAAUCUGCAUAGUCUAACAAGCAAAAUAAGGUUGUGCUAACUACAGGCAGUGCUUUGACAAGAAGGUUGUACUCUGUAGGCACUAUUGAUGACAAUUGGAUAUUCUAUAAAGUCAUAUAACAUUAAUACUGUUAUUGUGCUGUUCUAUUUUAAAUAUCUGCUGUUGUAAAGUUGCACUUAAGGUUGGUGUUAUCAUUACAUAAUUACUGAAUGUAAGACUUAAUUAAUUGUGAUUAAAGGCACACACAUUUAGGUGAAUGUGUUUAUAAUGGCAAUGUUCUGUUUGAAGCUUAUUGUUGUAUGUAAAGUUGCAUUUUAGCUUGUGUUGCCUGCAAGACAAGCACUAAUUUAUUGAUACCUGUGCAAGUAUUUAGUCUAUUUUUUACUACUUUGCUUUAUUUUGUCUAUAGUCCUGUUUUAUUACUUAAUAUUCAGUGUUUUUCUAUAGUGGUAUAGCAAAUGUGUAUUUUAGUUGAUCCUA